RNAcentral lists this ribosomal RNA (497 nucleotides) under uncultured bacterium. Its description in RNAcentral is "partial 16S ribosomal RNA". It matches the Rfam family "Bacterial small subunit ribosomal RNA", at positions 28 to 507 of the family's 1533-position model. The record is from RNAcentral.
GAUGAGCGCUGGCGGCGUGCCUAAUACAUGCCAGUCGAGCGAACGGACGAGAAGCUUGCUUUUCUGAUGUUAGCGGCGGACGGGUGAGUAACACGUGGAUAACCUACCUAUAAGACUGGGAUAACUUCGGGAAACCGGAGCUAAUACCGGAUAAUAUUUUGAACCGCAUGGUUCAAAAGUGAAAGACGGUCUUGCUGUCACUUAUAGAUGGAUCCGCGCUGCAUUAGCUAGUUGGUAAGGUAACGGCUUACCAAGGCAACGAUGCAUAGCCGACCUGAGAGGGUGAUCGGCCACACUGGAACUGAGACACGGUCCAGACUCCUACGGGAGGCAGCAGUAGGGAAUCUUCCGCAAUGGGCGAAAGCCUGACGGAGCAACGCCGCGUGAGUGAUGAAGGUCUUCGGAUCGUAAAACUCUGUUAUUAGGGAAGAACAUAUGUGUAAGUAACUGUGCACAUCUUGACGGUACCUAAUCAGAAAGCCACGGCUAACUACGUG